GGGCCAGACUCCUACGGGAGGCAGCAGUGAGGAAUAUUGGUCAAUGGUCGGGAGACUGAACCAGCCAAGCCGCGUGAGGGAGGAAGGUACAGAGUAUCGUAAACCUCUUUUGUCAGGGAACAAAGGCGGGGACGUGUCCCCGGAUGAGUGUACCUGAAGAAAAAGCAUCGGCUAACUCCGUGCCAGCAGCCGCGGUAAUACGGAGGAUGCGAGCGUUAUCCGGAUUUAUUGGGUUUAAAGGGUGCGCAGGCGGUCUGUUAAGUCAGCGGUCAAAGCCCGGGGCUCAACCCCGUCGAGCCGUUGAAACUGGCAGACUUGAGUUGGCGAGAAGUACGCGGAAUGCGCGGUGUAGCGGUGAAAUGCAUAGAUAUCACGCAGAACUCCGAUUGCGAAGGCAGCGUACCGGCGCCCAACUGACGCUCAUGCACGAAAGCGUGGGUAUCGAACAGGAUUAGAUACCCCCGUACUA
This 469-nucleotide ribosomal RNA is filed under the name uncultured bacterium. RNAcentral describes it as "bacterial SSU rRNA". It matches the Rfam family "Bacterial small subunit ribosomal RNA", at positions 328 to 797 of the family's 1533-position model. The record is from RNAcentral.